AUUGCUUCUCGGCCUUUUGGCUAAGAUCAAGUGUAUAAAGGUAUGCCUCAAAAGACCAUAGACAAAAUCAGUAUUGUUUGGUUGAGAUAGGAUCUCACUAUAUAGUCCAGGCUGGUCUUGAACUCACUAUGUAGCCCAGGUGGCACAAGCUGGCCUUGAACUUGUGCUCUUCCUGCCUCAGC
This is a small nuclear RNA of Heterocephalus glaber (naked mole-rat), 182 nucleotides long. Its record names the gene U2. It matches the Rfam family "U2 spliceosomal RNA". Rfam says of the family: U2 is a small nuclear RNA (snRNA) component of the spliceosome (involved in pre-mRNA splicing). NCBI's taxonomy places the organism in Eukaryota, Metazoa, Chordata, Mammalia, Rodentia, Bathyergidae. The record is from Ensembl.